Molecule: ribosomal RNA, 449 nt
Filed under: uncultured Pseudomonas sp.
Lineage: Bacteria; Pseudomonadati; Pseudomonadota; Gammaproteobacteria; Pseudomonadales; Pseudomonadaceae
Description: bacterial SSU rRNA
Rfam family: Bacterial small subunit ribosomal RNA
Source: RNAcentral
GGAGCAUGUGGUUUAAUUCGAAGCAACGCGAAGAACCUUACCAGGCCUUGACAUGCAGAGAACUUUCCAGAGAUGGAUUGGUGCCUUCGGGAACUCUGACACAGGUGCUGCAUGGCUGUCGCCAGCUCGUGUCGUGAGAUGUUGGGUUAAGUCCCGUAACGAGCGCAACCCUUGUCCUUAGUUACCAGCACGUUAUGGUGGGCACUCUAAGGAGACUGCCGGUGACAAACCGGAGGAAGGUGGGGAUGACGUCAAGUCAUCAUGGCCCUUACGGCCUGGGCUACACACGUGCUACAAUGGUCGGUACAAAGGGUUGCCAAGCCGCGAGGUGGAGCUAAUCCCAUAAAACCGAUCGUAGUCCGGAUCGCAGUCUGCAACUCGACUGCGUGAAGUCGGAAUCGCUAGUAAUCGUGAAUCAGAAUGUCACGGUGAAUACGUUCCCGGGCCUU